GCGUAGCUCAGUUGGCUAGAGCAGCUGAUUUGUAAUCAGCAGGUCGUGGGUUCGAGUCCCUCCGCCG
RNAcentral lists this transfer RNA (67 nucleotides) under Flavobacterium laiguense. RNAcentral describes it as "Flavobacterium sp. LB2P30 tRNA-Thr". It matches the Rfam family "tRNA", at positions 5 to 66 of the family's 71-position model. Rfam says of the family: Transfer RNA (tRNA) molecules are approximately 80 nucleotides in length. Their secondary structure includes four short double-helical elements and three loops (D, anti-codon, and T loops). Further hydrogen bonds mediate the characteristic L-shaped molecular structure. tRNAs have two regions of fundamental functional importance: the anti-codon, which is responsible for specific mRNA codon recognition, and the 3' end, to which the tRNAs corresponding amino acid is attached (by aminoacyl-tRNA synthetases). tRNAs cope with the degeneracy of the genetic code in two manners: having more than one tRNA (with a specific anti-codon) for a particular amino acid; and 'wobble' base-pairing, i.e. permitting non-standard base-pairing at the 3rd anti-codon position. The record is from RNAcentral. Lineage: Bacteria; Pseudomonadati; Bacteroidota; Flavobacteriia; Flavobacteriales; Flavobacteriaceae.